Molecule: ribosomal RNA, 801 nt
Filed under: uncultured bacterium
Lineage: Bacteria
Description: bacterial SSU rRNA
Rfam family: Bacterial small subunit ribosomal RNA
Source: RNAcentral
UUGCUUCCUGGUGGCGAGCGGCGGACGGGUGAGUAAUGCAUAGAAAUCUGCCCGGUAGUGGGGGAUAACUUGGGGAAACCCAGGCUAAUACCGCAUACGUCCUACGGGAGAAAGCAGGGGAUCUUCGGACCUUGCGCUAUCGGAUGAGUCUAUGUCGGGUUAGCUUGUUGGUGAGGUAAUGGCUCACCAAGGCGACGAUCCGUAGCUGGUCUGAGAGGAUGAUCCGCCACAUCGGGACUGAGACACGGCCCGAACUCCUACGGGAGGCAGCAGUGGGGAAUAUUGGACAAUGGGCGAAAGCCUGAUCCAGCCAUGCCGCGUGUGUGAAGAAGGCCUUCGGGUUGUAAAGCACUUUCAGUGGGGAAGAAAGCCUUGGGGCUAAUACCCUCGAGGAAGGACAUCACCCACAGAAGAAGCACCGGCUAACCCCGUGCCAGCAGCCGCGGUAAUACGGAGGGUGCGAGCGUUAAUCGGAAUUACUGGGCGUAAAGCGCGCGUAGGCGGUCUGAUAAGCCGGUUGUGAAAGCCCCGGGCUCAACCUGGGAACGGCAUCCGGAACUGUCAGGCUAGAGUGCAGGAGAGGAAGGUAGAAUUCCCGGUGUAGCGGUGAAAUGCGUAGAGAUCGGGAGGAAUACCAGUGGCGAAGGCGGCCUUCUGGACUGACACUGACGCUGAGGUGCGAAAGCGUGGGUAGCAAACAGGAUUAGAUGCCCUGGUAGUCCACGCCGUAAACGAUGUCGACUAGCCGUUGGGAUCCUUGAGAUCUUAGUGGCGCAGCUAACGCAUUAAGUCGACCGCCUG